Molecule: long non-coding RNA, 1627 nt
Organism: Cimex lectularius (bed bug)
Lineage: Eukaryota; Metazoa; Arthropoda; Insecta; Hemiptera; Cimicidae
Exons: 6
Source: RefSeq, a predicted model, not a curated record
CAUUUCACAUGUUGAAUAAAGUAAACAAAAAAUUAAUAAAAAAACGAGCUCUUUGUUAGAUUGUGAAGAUAAAUAAAUGGAUUUCGAUUGAAGUACCAAAUAGAAAAUAGGGCGAAAAAAGUAUUUGGCCGGAGGUAUAAACAUGAAUUUCAAAAAAUACGUCCUGCAAAGACAGUAUGUUAUCACAAGAUUUCCGAUACGAAACCUCGGAAGAAGCAGUGUAUUUUCAAAGUUCAAUACCUCCUAGCAUAGCAGAAGGAUGAUCGUCCCCAAAAAAAGAAAUAACAAUCUGAGGAGUAUGCAGAAUCUAUUCGACGAAAAUGAUAUACCGUCCACAGAACAUAUCGCUAUAAACCAGCAUCAACGGUGGAUUAGACAGAUAAUUAAGCUAGCUUCGUCCAACAUUACUGGUAGAAUGAAGAGUUUGUGAUAGCAAGCUGAUCCUGAAACUGGUUCUGCUAGGAGAUACGAACGCCAGCCAGAACAUGAACACAGUACGAAAAGUGGAGGUAGCAGUAAUAUCAACAUUGCUUUCAUACAAACACAAUAGCAAAGACUAGAUAGUACUAUGAAGUUAAACAAGGAAGAUCUGUUAAGUUUGGUUUCAAGAGCGAAGGCGAAAUUUUAACGCCUCUAAUCGAAAUAUAUGAUCUAAUGUAUACUUUUUGAAGAUUUCGAAAAAACUCACAGGCAAAUCAUUAAGACACCGUGUACAUCCGCAUAAUUUCAUGUUGAAAAGCCGAAACAUAAAAUCAACAGUGAUGCAAUAACUACAACAAUAACACCUCUAAACAAAAUAUUUGAUUAAGACCAAAGUUUUUGACGCUUUUGGACAUCUGCACAAAUUGUAUCCAAUUUCAGUGAGGUGGCAGAAAAAUUAUUUCAAAUGAAUUACUGUCAUUUGAAUGAGUUCGAUUUGUUUUUAGGCACACGCCAAGAUCAGAAUUCCAUGUUUCUCCGUUCACAAUUGAUUGAUCCUUCGUCUUUGAUAACCAAGUAUGUUCGUCACAGUCCCUCUCAAUGUCUUUAUCAACAACUCUCCAUCGUUCCGGUCCUUUUCUAUAGUAACUUCUCGUUCCAUUUAUUUUAGUAUCGUUCGUUUUAGUUCAUACUUCCUAACUACCUUUCAGCUUGAUUAAUAGCGCCUUUCAGCAUUUAUUUGCUUAUUACUGGCAUAAAGUGUAAACACGAGGUCGUAUCAAUCAUUUCCUUGUUACCUUAAGUGCACUGACUUUGACUGUAUGGGUAAUGAUGAUGGAUAUAAGUUGGGGUUUUUCUUCCCCAAACACUGCAGCUUUUAAGCGUAUUGUACUUUACUACUUCCUUAUUUGAGUUCAAUCGACUCAUUCCUAAUUCUAAGAAGUCAUUCAUUGGCUGUCGUUGCUGCAUUUUCAUUAUCUGGACUUUCUUUCUAUCCCAGAUUAUAUACUGCAUGAAUUGUUGUCUAUACAAUUGAUUGUAUGUUCUGAGACUUUGUCUAUUUUCACAUUGGUUCCUAGCUAUUACAUUUUCUUAUUUAUUAUUCUUCCCGUACAAUUCACACGUAGUCCUAGAUCACCAAGUAGGUAAGUGACUCACAGACGGAUGUUCUAUCUUGCAUUUACAACCCCCAAAUAAUUUUUCCUUU